RNAcentral lists this long non-coding RNA (1066 nucleotides) under Equus caballus (horse). RNAcentral's name for it is "lncRNA (ENSECAG00000050816.1)". The record is from RNAcentral. Lineage: Eukaryota; Metazoa; Chordata; Mammalia; Perissodactyla; Equidae.
ACCGUUUCCGCCAUUAGCUUCGCCUCACCAUGUCUAACAUCCUCGCCCCGACCCCAGCCCUGACUUCCAGAAUUGCCACCACAGCCACUGAGCACAGCAGAGGAAGCUCAUGCAAGGGAAAUGUGUCAGAGAGUGGCUGCACACUGUCUGGCCAGAGAACGCCAUGCUUUGUCCAGAAGAUCAGCCCUGAGCUAAUAUCUGCUGCCAAUCCUCCUCUUUUUGCUGAGGAAGGCUGACCCUGAGCUCACAUCCAUGCCCAUCUUCCUCUACUUUAUAUGUGGGACGCCUAACACAGCAUGGCUUGCCAAACGGUGCCGUGUCCGCACCUGGGAUCUGAACUGGGGAACCCUGGGCUGCCGAAGCAGAAUGGGUACACUUAACCACUGCGCCACUGGGCUGGCCCCACACUGAGGGAUUUUUUGAGGAAGAUUAGCCCUGAGCUAACAUCUGCUGCCAAUCCUCCUCUUUUUGCUGAGGAAGAUUGGCCCUGAGCUCACAUUUGUGCCCAUCUUCCUCCAUUUUAUAUGUGGGACACCUGCCACAGCAUGGCUUGAUAAGCAGUGAGUAGGUCCACGCCCACGAUCUGAACCGGUGAACCCCAGGCCAUUGAAGCUGAGCACGAGAACUUAACUGCUAGGACCCUGGGCCAACCCCUCUGUUACAGUGUUGAUCCUUAAUGAAAAUCUUGCUCCUUAAACUCUGUGUUAGAAUCAGCUCCUGGUGGAUCCAACUCCAACAGCAGAGGAACAGGAAGACUUUGUGUCAUGUGUGAUAAUAUCAUGAGGUUUCUCCUCAGAUGUGAAGGAGGUGAGGGUCCCUGUAGCCUAAUAGGGAUGGACUACAAGUCCAGUGAGCGAGAGAGCAACUUUGGAGUCUUCACUGAAGGAUCUGCAGGAAUGUGAUGACGACCAGGCAGAGGGUCCAUACUGAUAGUCAUCAUCAAUGACAACUGUCUGCAUCAAUGACAUGGCAACUUCCUCUCCAGAGUCAUGGUGGCAAGACACAAAUGACUCUAUUUCAUUUGAUGGUCCCCCUAUACUGACCCAAUCAGCAGGAAGUAGUCAGA